This 497-nucleotide ribosomal RNA is filed under the name uncultured bacterium. RNAcentral describes it as "partial 16S ribosomal RNA". It matches the Rfam family "Bacterial small subunit ribosomal RNA", at positions 28 to 507 of the family's 1533-position model. The record is from RNAcentral.
GACGAACGCUGGCGGCAUGCCUAAUACAUGCAAGUCGAACGCUGAAGCACUCUGCUUGCAGGGUGCGGAUGAGUGGCGAACGGGUGAGUAACACGUGGGAAAUCUGCCUAUAAGAGGGGGAUAACAUUCGGAAACGGAUGCUAAUACCGCAUAUAUUCUUGGACCGCCUGGUCCUUGAAAGAAAGACGGCUUUGCUGUCGCUUAUAGAUGAUCCCGCGGCGUAUUAGUUAGUUGGUGGGGUAAAGGCCUACCAAGACAAUGAUACGUAGCCGACCUGAGAGGGUGAUCGGCCACACUGGGACUGAGACACGGCCCAGACUCCUACGGGAGGCAGCAGUAGGGAAUCUUCCACAAUGGGCGAAAGCCUGAUGGAGCAAUGCCGCGUGAAUGAAGAAGGUCUUCGGAUCGUAAAGUUCUGUUAUUAGAGAAGAACAAGUCAAGGAGUAACUGUCGUGACUUUGACGGUACCUAACCAGAAAGUCACGGCUAACUACGUG